CAAAUUAGAGCUUGAAUUAUAAGUGUUUCAUUUACAUUGAAGGGAUAUUAUGUUAAUAAUUAAUUUGA
This 68-nucleotide transfer RNA is filed under the name Zaranga tukuringra. Its description in RNAcentral is "tRNA-Val". Lineage: Eukaryota; Metazoa; Arthropoda; Insecta; Lepidoptera; Notodontidae. The record is from RNAcentral.